AACGAACGCUGGCGGCAUGCCUAAUACAUGCAAGUCGAACGAACACUUCGGUGUUAGUGGCGCACGGGUGCGUAACGCGUGGGAAUCUACCCUUGGGUUCGGAAUAACAGUUGGAAACGACUGCUAAUACCGGAUGAUGACGUAAGUCCAAAGAUUUAUCGCCCAGGGAUGAGCCCGCGUAGGAUUAGCUAGUUGGUGAGGUAAAGGCUCACCAAGGCUACGAUCCUUAGCUGGUCUGAGAGGAUGAUCAGCCACACUGGGACUGAGACACGGCCCAGACUCCUACGGGAGGCAGCAGUAGGGAAUAUUGGACAAUGGGCGAAAGCCUGAUCCAGCAAUGCCGCGUGAGCGAUGAAGGCCUUAGGGUUGUAAAGCUCUUUUACCCGGGAUGAUAAUGACAGUACCGGGAGAAUAAGCCCCGGCUAACUCCGUG
RNAcentral lists this ribosomal RNA (433 nucleotides) under uncultured bacterium. RNAcentral's name for it is "bacterial SSU rRNA". It matches the Rfam family "Bacterial small subunit ribosomal RNA", at positions 29 to 507 of the family's 1533-position model. The record is from RNAcentral.